This 526-nucleotide ribosomal RNA is filed under the name uncultured bacterium. RNAcentral describes it as "bacterial SSU rRNA". It matches the Rfam family "Bacterial small subunit ribosomal RNA", at positions 777 to 1301 of the family's 1533-position model. The record is from RNAcentral.
AAUAGAUACCCAGGUAGUCCACGCCGUAAACGAUGAGUGCUAAGUGUUAGAGGGUUUCCGCCCUUUAGUGCUGCAGCAAACGCAUUAAGCACUCCGCCUGGGGAGUACGGUCGCAAGACUGAAACUCAAAGGAAUUGACGGGGGCCCGCACAAGCGGUGGAGCAUGUGGUUUAAUUCGAAGCAACGCGAAGAACCUUACCAGGUCUUGACAUCCUUAUGCCUGCUCUGGAGACAGAGUUUUCCCUUCGGGGACAUAAGUGACAGGUGGUGCAUGGUUGUCGUCAGCUCGUGUCGUGAGAUGUUGGGUUAAGUCCCGCAACGAGCGCAACCCUUGAUCUUAGUUGCCAGCAUUCAGUUGGGCACUCUAAGGUGACUGCCGGUGACAAACCGGAGGAAGGUGGGGAUGACGUCAAAUCAUCAUGCCCCUUAUGACCUGGGCUACACACGUGCUACAAUGGAUGGUACAAAGGGCAGCAAAACCGCGAGGUUGAGCCAAUCCCAUAAAACCAUUCUCAGUUCGGAUUGC